Long non-coding RNA from Homo sapiens (human), 874 nucleotides. Ensembl annotates it as mir-99a-let-7c cluster host gene. Its record names the gene MIR99AHG. Lineage: Eukaryota; Metazoa; Chordata; Mammalia; Primates; Hominidae. The record is from Ensembl.
UCCCAGGCAGCUUCUGCUAGUGUUUAGGUACUAGUGCAGUGUAGAACCCUUUUCUCAGGCAAAACCUAACAUCUGACCGCACCCUUUUUGCUAUUAAAAAAAAAAAAAAGCUUCUAUUUUUUUCCUCCUGUCGUUAAGAUAAAUUCUCCAGUAGACAACCUCUCCCACUAAUUGUGUAUUAGCAACGUAUUUUAUCUUGAGAGCUUGUACACUGGGCUCUCAACGUGGUGUGGAAGGUAGCCUGUUACAGUGCUGGAUUCAUAAAAGGGCCUUUAUGGUUUGUGAAAGAAUAUCUGUGUGCUUAGGGAGGAAACUUUUUGAUCUGCAGAAAAGCCAGAAGACAUCUAGGACAUCCAUAAAAAUUCAUCAGAGAGCAUUUUACUACUGAGCUGCAAAGGUGUCUGAUGAUUUGUGAGCCUCAAGUGACUACUCUGUGGAAUCAUCUGUCCUUGCCUUUGAAUUAGCUUUCCCUAGGCCAUGAGUCAACAUUAGUAGUUUAUACAUCCAAAUUGAUGACAAGAGCACCUCAAAGGCAGCAGCCUCAAGGAGCAGCCAUGGCCCCAGACUUGUCGCACGGAUGCAGAAAACUUAAUGGAGGAGGCUGAGGUCAGAAUGGGAAGAGUUUUUAAAAAAUAAAAAGGGGAGCUAAUAUGUGAGGAACUGAUUGCUGUGCAUUAUUUUCCACUGAACAGACCUUCUUUUAACUUCUAAUCUCAAGCACAUAGCAGCUGUUGUUUUCAUAUUAAAGAUCAGUAAGUGUUUGUUGAAUGAAUGUAUAAAUUCUUCCCCAAUCUCUGUUCCAUGUAAUAAGAACUAAGUUAGCAUUCAAUUAUAAAGAGGACUUAGAAAGUCUGCAGACAUUUUUGAUCAAAAA